This is a long non-coding RNA of Hirundo rustica (Barn swallow), 595 nucleotides long. RefSeq lists it as uncharacterized. The transcript is spliced from 3 exons. Lineage: Eukaryota; Metazoa; Chordata; Aves; Passeriformes; Hirundinidae. The record is from RefSeq and is a predicted model, not a curated record.
GAUUCAUUGGUGCCUAAAAAUGUAACUUGUUGUACGGGCCGUGAGCCCCUGAGUGCGGGGGCUGCCGUGCUGGAUGGGUGCUCCCCCUCCUCCGCAGUGCCAUCGAAAUCUUAUGGAGUUCUGGCUGAGCUCACAGAAGGAGUCAGGCAGGUGCCAGAGCUGGUGGAAGGGGAAGGGAACAUAUGGCUGUGAACAGAAGGAAGGUGGGAAUGCGACAAGUGAUGACAAAUUGGUUUGCUUGGAGAGGAGUUGUGCUGUAGCUUAUACCAGCCUUUGAUUUCUGCCAUGCUGACUUGAGCUGUGUGUGACUUGCUCUGUGGAAAGAAAGUACAUCCCACUCCAAAUGAAACCAUGAAACAAGGCAGAGCAAGUCCUUCAAGCUCUGAUUCAAAGCUGCCUUAUUGCUGUGGAAUUGAUAUGGACUUUCCCUGGGUAACUUCUCUGACUGAAGGGUGAAGCCAAGAAUAGUCUGAGGAUGCACAGGUGUACUGAGUCGUUCCAUUGCAACCUGGGCAAAGCAGAGUUUGGCGAUAUAGAUUUACCUGGAACAAUGCCUGUGAAGUUUCCUGUUUCUUGUUUAUCACUCCAGGAUUGA